UAUAUUAUUUCUCGUUUAUUCUCAGGACAUGCUUGGAAUAUCUCUUAUAGUAUAUCAUUUCUUGUAAAUUCUCAGAACAUACUAUUUAAGUACGCAGAAGUAGGAUCAAUCUAUAACAACGCCAUCUGAGAUAUACAUAACCUCUGUAUUGCCGGUACCUGUCUUAGUGCCAAAAAGCCGCGACAGAUAUUGGCUGUAGGCACAUUAAAAAUUACAUAAAGAAAAAAGGUACCUGUCUUUUCCGUUUUCGCAUGGCGUGCCACAGUUUCGUGUUGUCAGUGUCACGUGUUGCUGUCCGUGUAGAUUAUCCGAGUUUUGCCACUUUUGCAGUUAUAUAGCCAUAAAUAAGUCUACUCUCUAAAGUCUGCUCUCUUGUGUAGGCACACGCAUUGCUGGGACACAAAGUUUAUAGUAACUUUUGCCACUUUUGCAGUUAUAUAGCCAUAAAUAAUGAUGUCAUGUGAUAUUUUGAAUGUCUUUAAUUGUCAAUCAUUUGUGUUUGCAUUAUAAAUACAUGUACGUGUGCAUUAUAUUCUACACUUUGUAAAUAAAUAAAAUUGAUUUAUAACAUGUAAAUAAAGAGUUACAAAUUAAUACAACCUAAAAAAAUCAAUAUAAUCUUUAUAUAUAUGAACGCACGUACCUGGCUGUAUGAUAUACUAUUUACAUACUAUACAUAUUCUGUUCAUAUACUACAAGAUAUUACCAGUAGAUUCUAAGAACCAGAAUAGGCGGACAUAGGAACUUUCUCAGCAUGUUCUUAGCAUAUCGUAGUACGUAUCUCGAAUGUUCUGAGAAUAUACGCAACAUACUGUUGCGAUAUUCUCAGAACAUUCUCAGUAUCUACGGCUGCAUUCGUUUACGCAGUAGUUAGUGCAUCCACUGCGUAUCUCAUCUGCUGAUCACGUGACAUAAUUUGCCGAACGCACUCCUGCGUGAACGGCUGCGCGUGUGCGGAUUGGUGCGGAGUGUUUUGGAGCGCUUCAAAUGGGACUUUCGGUUGCGUUUCGCCUAAAUGGAAGCAGUUUUACGUUCGUUUAUGCAACACUGCAAGCAGAGCAUCCAGAGCAGUACCUCUGAAGUAGCUGCGCAGAUGGGAUAUAUCUCUGCAUAAACGAAUGACAAACUGCGCUGCAGUCGCUUUCGCAGGCAGAGUAAACGAACAACAUCUGCGGCAACCACUGCGUAAACGAACGCACUCUACUUGUGCUGUUAGGGAUAUGUGCAUGCGGUGUUUGUCUCUUUCGACUAUCUAAAGAACAUGGUGGUUGUAUGACGCGAGCAUCAUUCUAAAA
RNAcentral lists this long non-coding RNA (1295 nucleotides) under Ooceraea biroi (clonal raider ant). Its description in RNAcentral is "uncharacterized LOC105287169, transcript variant X1". The record is from RNAcentral. Lineage: Eukaryota; Metazoa; Arthropoda; Insecta; Hymenoptera; Formicidae.